GUGAGUAGUUCAGAGUUUGAUCCUGGCUCAGGAUGAACGCUGGCGGCAUGCCUAACACAUGCAAGUCGAACGGAGUUAUAUUGAAUGAUUUCUUCGGAAUGAUUUUGAUUUAACUUAGUGGCGGACGGGUGAGUAACGCGUGAGUAACCUGCCUCUCAGAGGGGGAUAACGUUCUGAAAAGAACGCUAAUACCGCAUAUAAUUACGAAACCGCAUGGUUUUGUAAUGAAAGGAGCAAUCCGCUGAGAGAUGGACUCGCGUCUGAUUAGCUAGAUGGUGGGGUAACGGCCUACCAUGGCGACGAUCAGUAGCCGGACUGAGAGGUUGAACGGCCACAUUGGGACUGAGACACGGCCCAG
This 358-nucleotide ribosomal RNA is filed under the name uncultured bacterium. Its description in RNAcentral is "bacterial SSU rRNA". It matches the Rfam family "Bacterial small subunit ribosomal RNA", at positions 1 to 334 of the family's 1533-position model. The record is from RNAcentral.